RNAcentral lists this long non-coding RNA (1052 nucleotides) under Olea europaea subsp. europaea. The record is from RNAcentral. Lineage: Eukaryota; Viridiplantae; Streptophyta; Magnoliopsida; Lamiales; Oleaceae.
CAGAAAAUGAUAGAAGAUUGUGUCCAAACAAUUUUUGAUACACCAGCAGAAAAUUCCAUCCGGGAUGAUGCUAUUGCUCGAGUUUUAGGUCCUGGACGUCGUAGAAGAGUUAGAGGACUUGGAUUUGGAGUUGCACCAUCGAAAGUGGAUGGACAAUUUCAAAGUAACGGGAGAGUGAGAAAACUCGAAGAAAAGGUUGGAGCGCUAGAAGAAAAGGUUGAAACACUUCUCCAAUUAUCUUAACAGGUUAUAAACUUUUAUCAUUAUAUAUACAAUAAUAAUAUAGCUUCACAUAACUCAAUAUGGAGAAUAAAUUUUUAAUUUUUAUAUCAUUUACAGAAUCAAAACAAGAAUGUAGACGACAUGAGUUCACGUGCUUUUACUCAGGUUUUUGUAUCUAAAAAAUUAUUUUGUAUUCACUAUAAACAUAGAAUAUAGCAUACUAAUUUACUUUACUUUGAUUUUGUAGUCACAACACGGAAGUGAUAUCCAUUGAGGGAUUGCACAUACAAAAAAUGUAAGGUGUCAGCUGUUGCAUUGGUGCAUAUUUGAAGAGGAAGAAAUUGUAGCUGAAGGAAGGAUUGCAUCGAUAAACCCAAGUGCAAAGGUCCAUCACGUACCAAUCGGACGAGAUUGUUGGAACGUGUGAGUUGAGAAAUAUUAUAUGGGCCAUUUGAACUUAUAUAUACCUACUGAUGAAUUUUGAGUGCUUAGUGAAACCAUAGGAAGUACAAUUGCUUGAUCAAAGAGCAGUAUUAGACUUACUUGACAAGGUAUGUAAUGCAUUUUUGUAUUUCUGUGUGAAUUAUCUGUGCAUGCUAGGAAAAAAUGGUUCGAUCAAUGAAAAUUUCCUACAUGGUAUUGUUUAUUCAUUAAGAACUGAUUUACUACUUGCAAAAUUCAAGUAUAGCAUCGAUUUUAUAAUCACCUAUCAUGAUCAUGAAGCACAUAUCCUUUUUUCUUCUAAAUUGAGUGAGCCCUACCUUUGCAUCUCCAUGCAGCGAGAAUAGAUAAUAUGAUCAUGACUGGAAUUUAUAUGUGGUGCAGUUGGU